Molecule: small nuclear RNA, 107 nt
Filed under: Cavia aperea (Brazilian guinea pig)
Lineage: Eukaryota; Metazoa; Chordata; Mammalia; Rodentia; Caviidae
Source: RNAcentral
GUGCUCGCUUCUGUAGCACAUAUACUAAAAUUGGAAUGAUACAGAGAAGGUUAGAAUGGCCCCUGCGCAAGGAUGACAUGCAGAUUCAUGAAGUGUUCCAUAUUUUU